RNAcentral lists this ribosomal RNA (253 nucleotides) under uncultured bacterium. RNAcentral's name for it is "partial 16S ribosomal RNA". It matches the Rfam family "Bacterial small subunit ribosomal RNA", at positions 524 to 776 of the family's 1533-position model. The record is from RNAcentral.
GACAGAGGGGGCAAGCGGUGUCCGGAGUUACUGGGCGUAAAGGGCGCGGAGGCGGUCUGCGGCGUCGGCGCUGAAAGCGCCCCGCUUAACGGGGCGAGGCCCGCCGAUACGGGCAGGCUCGAGGCGAGCAGAGGGUGGUGGAAUUCCGGGUGGAGCGGUGAAAUGCGUAGAGAUCCGGAGGAACGCCAGUGGGGAAGGCGGCCACCUGGGCCCGACCUGACGCUGCGGCGCGACAGCGUGGGGAGCAAACCGG